RNAcentral lists this ribosomal RNA (253 nucleotides) under uncultured bacterium. Its description in RNAcentral is "partial 16S ribosomal RNA". It matches the Rfam family "Bacterial small subunit ribosomal RNA", at positions 524 to 776 of the family's 1533-position model. The record is from RNAcentral.
UACAGAGGGGGCAAGCGUUAUUCGGAAUUAUUGGGCGUAAAGGGCGCGUAGGCGGCUUGGCAAGUGGAAGGUGAAAUCCCUCGGCUUAACCGAGGAACUGCCCUCCAAACUGCUUUGCUUGAGGCCGGGAGAGGUAAGUGGAAUUCCCAGUGUAGCGGUGAAAUGCGUAGAUAUUGGGAGGAACACCAGUGGCGAAGGCGACUUCCUGGCCUGUUCUUGACGCUGAGGCGCGAAAGCUAGGGGAGCAAACGGG